GAUGCAGAACUCUUAGCUCCUCCUGCACCAUGCCUGCCUGGAUGCUGCUGUGAUCCUGCCUUGAUGAUAAUGGACUGAACUUCUGAACCUGAGGCACCGGAGAUAUGGUUCUGCCAUUAAGAGCACUGGCUGUUCUUCCAGAGGACCCAGGUUCAAUUCCCAGCACCUAUAAGGCAGCUCACAAGCAUCUAUAACACCAGUUCCAGGGGAUCUUGUGUCCUCUUCCAGUCUCCACGGACAUUGGGCACACGUGUGGUAAACAGACCCCUGCGAACGAUCAAAGAUGGAGAAAUGAGCAGUCCUCAAGCAACAACGCCCUCCUAAUGCGCAAGCGCGCCCGGAGGCCCCGCCCCUCGCGGUCACCCCAAGACCAGGCGCGCGCAUCGGAAGUCAGAACCUCCAAGGCUCCUCCUUGCUCUUCCUCCACAAGGCCCCGCGUUCGCAGUCCGGUUCCGGUUGUAGCUCCGCCCUCGCGCGGGAACACGCCAGAAGGCUGGAUAUCCGGGACGGGAGGCUAGCUGAGCGCUCACUUCCGGUGGCAGCUCGUCCCAUCUCCCUUGAGGGGCAGGCUCUGGCUCUCGGUGCGGUAGCGCCAUCUGGCGCCGAGUGUUCCUCAGCCCGCGGAGGGGCGUGCUUCCUCCCUUCAGAACAUUCCAGAGACUCCUCGGCUCUGGUAGGCUUUAUGCAUUCCGCCAGAAGGGCGGGACCCAAGACUCCUCCUCUGCCGAGUUCCCGCG
Molecule: long non-coding RNA, 737 nt
Filed under: Rattus norvegicus (Norway rat)
Lineage: Eukaryota; Metazoa; Chordata; Mammalia; Rodentia; Muridae
Description: long non-coding RNA NONRATT007208
Source: RNAcentral